This 75-nucleotide transfer RNA is filed under the name Verrucomicrobiaceae bacterium. RNAcentral describes it as "tRNA-Thr". It matches the Rfam family "tRNA". Rfam says of the family: Transfer RNA (tRNA) molecules are approximately 80 nucleotides in length. Lineage: Bacteria; Pseudomonadati; Verrucomicrobiota; Verrucomicrobiia; Verrucomicrobiales; Verrucomicrobiaceae. The record is from RNAcentral. RNAcentral also lists the same sequence under 1 other name.
GCCGAUGUAGCUCAGUGGUAGAGCAGCUGUUUCGUAAACAGCAGGUCGCGGGUUCGAUUCCCUUCAUCGGCUCCA